RNAcentral lists this ribosomal RNA (474 nucleotides) under uncultured bacterium. Its description in RNAcentral is "bacterial SSU rRNA". It matches the Rfam family "Bacterial small subunit ribosomal RNA", at positions 26 to 518 of the family's 1533-position model. The record is from RNAcentral.
AGGACGAACGCUGGCGGCGUGCCUAACACAUGCAAGUCGAGCGAGGAGAUCCUCGGGAUGAUCCUAGCGGCGGACGGGUGAGUAACACGUGGGCAACCUGCCUCAUAGAGAGGAAUAGCCUUCCGAAAGGGAGAUUAAUACCUCAUAACAUUGCAGUUUCGCAUGAAACAGCAAUUAAAGGAGCAAUCCGCUAUGAGAUGGGCCCGCGGCGCAUUAGCUAGUUGGUGAGGUAACGGCUCACCAAGGCGACGAUGCGUAGCCGACCUGAGAGGGUGAUCGGCCACAUUGGGACUGAGACACGGCCCAGACUCCUACGGGAGGCAGCAGUGGGGAAUAUUGCACAAUGGGGGAAACCCUGAUGCCAGCAACGCCGCGUGAGUGAUGACGGCCUUCGGGUUGUAAAGCUCUGUCUUCAGGGACGAUAAUGACGGUACCUGAGGAGGAAGCCACGGCUAACUACGUGCCAGCCGCCGC